RNAcentral lists this ribosomal RNA (440 nucleotides) under uncultured bacterium. RNAcentral's name for it is "partial 16S ribosomal RNA". It matches the Rfam family "Bacterial small subunit ribosomal RNA", at positions 338 to 795 of the family's 1533-position model. The record is from RNAcentral.
CCUACGGGAGGCAGCAGUGGGGGAUAUUGCACAAUGGGGGAAACCCUGAUGCAGCGACGCCGCGUGUGGGAAGACGGCCCUCUGGAUUGAAAACUAUUGUCCCCAGGGACAAAGAUGACGGUACCUGGGGAGGAAGCUCCGGCUAACAACGUGCAAGCAGCCGCGGUAAUACGUAGGGAGCGAGCGUUGUCCGGAAAUACUGGGUGAAAGGGGAGCGUAGGAGGGGAUUAAAGUUGGUGGGCAAAACUACCGGCUCAACUGGUAGUCGCACUCAAAACUGCAGCUCUUGAGUGAAGUAGAGGGGGGCGGAAUUCCUAGUGUAGCGGUGAAAUGCGUAGAUAUUAGGAGGAACACCAGUGGCGAAGGCGGCCUGCUGGGCUUUUACUGACGCUGAGGCUCGAAAGUGUGGGGAGCAAACAGGAUUAGAUACCCUAGUAGUC